RNAcentral lists this ribosomal RNA (2886 nucleotides) under Staphylococcus aureus VET1838R. RNAcentral describes it as "bacterial LSU rRNA". It matches the Rfam family "Bacterial large subunit ribosomal RNA". The record is from RNAcentral. RNAcentral also lists the same sequence under 1 other name. Lineage: Bacteria; Bacillati; Bacillota; Bacilli; Caryophanales; Staphylococcaceae.
UUAAGUUAUUAAGGGCGCACGGUGGAUGCCUUGGCACUAGAAGCCGAUGAAGGACGUUACUAACGACGAUAUGCUUUGGGGAGCUGUAAGUAAGCUUUGAUCCAGAGAUUUCCGAAUGGGGAAACCCAGCAUGAGUUAUGUCAUGUUAUCGAUAUGUGAAUACAUAGCAUAUCAGAAGGCACACCCGGAGAACUGAAACAUCUUAGUACCCGGAGGAAGAGAAAGAAAAUUCGAUUCCCUUAGUAGCGGCGAGCGAAACGGGAAGAGCCCAAACCAACAAGCUUGCUUGUUGGGGUUGUAGGACACUCUAUACGGAGUUACAAAGGACGACAUUAGACGAAUCAUCUGGAAAGAUGAAUCAAAGAAGGUAAUAAUCCUGUAGUCGAAAAUGUUGUCUCUCUUGAGUGGAUCCUGAGUACGACGGAGCACGUGAAAUUCCGUCGGAAUCUGGGAGGACCAUCUCCUAAGGCUAAAUACUCUCUAGUGACCGAUAGUGAACCAGUACCGUGAGGGAAAGGUGAAAAGCACCCCGGAAGGGGAGUGAAAUAGAACCUGAAACCGUGUGCUUACAAGUAGUCAGAGCCCGUUAAUGGGUGAUGGCGUGCCUUUUGUAGAAUGAACCGGCGAGUUACGAUUUGAUGCAAGGUUAAGCAGUAAAUGUGGAGCCGUAGCGAAAGCGAGUCUGAAUAGGGCGUUUAGUAUUUGGUCGUAGACCCGAAACCAGGUGAUCUACCCUUGGUCAGGUUGAAGUUCAGGUAACACUGAAUGGAGGACCGAACCGACUUACGUUGAAAAGUGAGCGGAUGAACUGAGGGUAGCGGAGAAAUUCCAAUCGAACCUGGAGAUAGCUGGUUCUCUCCGAAAUAGCUUUAGGGCUAGCCUCAAGUGAUGAUUAUUGGAGGUAGAGCACUGUUUGGACGAGGGGCCCCUCUCGGGUUACCGAAUUCAGACAAACUCCGAAUGCCAAUUAAUUUAACUUGGGAGUCAGAACAUGGGUGAUAAGGUCCGUGUUCGAAAGGGAAACAGCCCAGACCACCAGCUAAGGUCCCAAAAUAUAUGUUAAGUGGAAAAGGAUGUGGCGUUGCCCAGACAACUAGGAUGUUGGCUUAGAAGCAGCCAUCAUUUAAAGAGUGCGUAAUAGCUCACUAGUCGAGUGACACUGCGCCGAAAAUGUACCGGGGCUAAACAUAUUACCGAAGCUGUGGAUUGUCCUUUGGACAAUGGUAGGAGAGCGUUCUAAGGGCGUUGAAGCAUGAUCGUAAGGACAUGUGGAGCGCUUAGAAGUGAGAAUGCCGGUGUGAGUAGCGAAAGACGGGUGAGAAUCCCGUCCACCGAUUGACUAAGGUUUCCAGAGGAAGGCUCGUCCGCUCUGGGUUAGUCGGGUCCUAAGCUGAGGCCGACAGGCGUAGGCGAUGGAUAACAGGUUGAUAUUCCUGUACCACCUAUAAUCGUUUUAAUCGAUGGGGGGACGCAGUAGGAUAGGCGAAGCGUGCGAUUGGAUUGCACGUCUAAGCAGUAAGGCUGAGUAUUAGGCAAAUCCGGUACUCAUUAAGGCUGAGCUGUGAUGGGGAGAAGACAUUGUGUCUUCGAGUCGUUGAUUUCACACUGCCGAGAAAAGCCUCUAGAUAGAAAAUAGGUGCCCGUACCGCAAACCGACACAGGUAGUCAAGAUGAGAAUUCUAAGGUGAGCGAGCGAACUCUCGUUAAGGAACUCGGCAAAAUGACCCCGUAACUUCGGGAGAAGGGGUGCUCUUUAGGGUUAACGCCCAGAAGAGCCGCAGUGAAUAGGCCCAAGCGACUGUUUAUCAAAAACACAGGUCUCUGCUAAACCGUAAGGUGAUGUAUAGGGGCUGACGCCUGCCCGGUGCUGGAAGGUUAAGAGGAGUGGUUAGCUUCUGCGAAGCUACGAAUCGAAGCCCCAGUAAACGGCGGCCGUAACUAUAACGGUCCUAAGGUAGCGAAAUUCCUUGUCGGGUAAGUUCCGACCCGCACGAAAGGCGUAACGAUUUGGGCACUGUCUCAACGAGAGACUCGGUGAAAUCAUAGUACCUGUGAAGAUGCAGGUUACCCGCGACAGGACGGAAAGACCCCGUGGAGCUUUACUGUAGCCUGAUAUUGAAAUUCGGCACAGCUUGUACAGGAUAGGUAGGAGCCUUUGAAACGUGAGCGCUAGCUUACGUGGAGGCGCUGGUGGGAUACUACCCUAGCUGUGUUGGCUUUCUAACCCGCACCACUUAUCGUGGUGGGAGACAGUGUCAGGCGGGCAGUUUGACUGGGGCGGUCGCCUCCUAAAAGGUAACGGAGGCGCUCAAAGGUUCCCUCAGAAUGGUUGGAAAUCAUUCAUAGAGUGUAAAGGCAUAAGGGAGCUUGACUGCGAGACCUACAAGUCGAGCAGGGUCGAAAGACGGACUUAGUGAUCCGGUGGUUCCGCAUGGAAGGGCCAUCGCUCAACGGAUAAAAGCUACCCCGGGGAUAACAGGCUUAUCUCCCCCAAGAGUUCACAUCGACGGGGAGGUUUGGCACCUCGAUGUCGGCUCAUCGCAUCCUGGGGCUGUAGUCGGUCCCAAGGGUUGGGCUGUUCGCCCAUUAAAGCGGUACGCGAGCUGGGUUCAGAACGUCGUGAGACAGUUCGGUCCCUAUCCGUCGUGGGCGUAGGAAAUUUGAGAGGAGCUGUCCUUAGUACGAGAGGACCGGGAUGGACAUACCUCUGGUGUACCAGUUGUCGUGCCAACGGCAUAGCUGGGUAGCUAUGUGUGGACGGGAUAAGUGCUGAAAGCAUCUAAGCAUGAAGCCCCCCUCAAGAUGAGAUUUCCCAACUUCGGUUAUAAGAUCCCUCAAAGAUGAUGAGGUUAAUAGGUUCGAGGUGGAAGCAUGGUGACAUGUGGA